This 253-nucleotide ribosomal RNA is filed under the name uncultured bacterium. Its description in RNAcentral is "partial 16S ribosomal RNA". It matches the Rfam family "Bacterial small subunit ribosomal RNA", at positions 524 to 776 of the family's 1533-position model. The record is from RNAcentral.
UACGUAGGGUGCAAGCGUUGUCCGGAAUUAUUGGGCGUAAAGAGCUCGUAGGCGGUCUGUCGCGUCGGCUGUGAAAACCCGGGGCUCAACCCCGGGCCUGCAGUCGAUACGGGCAGACUAGAGUGCGGUAGGGGAGACUGGAAUUCCUGGUGUAGCGGUGAAAUGCGCAGAUAUCGGGAGGAACACCGGUGGCGAAGGCGGUUCUCUGGGCCUUACCUGACACUGAGGAGCGAAAGCGUGGGGAGCGAACAGG